RNAcentral lists this ribosomal RNA (253 nucleotides) under uncultured bacterium. Its description in RNAcentral is "partial 16S ribosomal RNA". It matches the Rfam family "Bacterial small subunit ribosomal RNA", at positions 524 to 776 of the family's 1533-position model. The record is from RNAcentral.
UACGGGGGGGGCAAGCGUUGUUCGGAAUUACUGGGCGUAAAGGGCUCGUAGGCGGCCAACUAAGUCAUACGUGAAAGCCCGGGGCUUAACCCCGGGUCUGCAUUCGAUACGGGCUGGCUAGAGUGUGGUAGGGGAGAUCGGAAUUCCUGGUGUAGCGGUGAAAUGCGCAGAUAUCAGGAGGAACACCGGUGGCGAAGGCGGAUCUCUGGACCAUUACUGACGCUGAGGCGCGAAAGCCAGGGGAGCAAACGGG